This 589-nucleotide ribosomal RNA is filed under the name Bothrocarina nigrocaudata. Its description in RNAcentral is "partial 16S ribosomal RNA". It matches the Rfam family "Bacterial large subunit ribosomal RNA", at positions 1811 to 2607 of the family's 2925-position model. Lineage: Eukaryota; Metazoa; Chordata; Actinopteri; Perciformes; Zoarcidae. The record is from RNAcentral.
AAACAUCGCCUCUUGCAAACAUAAUAAAUAAGAGGUCCCGCCUGCCCUGUGACUAUUAGUUUAACGGCCGCGGUAUUUUAACCGUGCAAAGGUAGCGCAAUCACUUGUCUUUUAAAUGAAGACCUGUAUGAAUGGCAUAACGAGGGCUAAACUGUCUCCUUUUUCCAGUCAGUGAAGUUGAUCUUCCCGUGCAGAAGCGGGAAUACAAACAUAAGACGAGAAGACCCUAUGAAGCUUUAGACGCCAAGACAGAUCAUGUUAAUAACCCUGAAUAAAGGCUUAAACCAAGUGAAACCUGCCCGAAUGUCUUUGGUUGGGGCGACCGCGGGGCAUUGAAAAACCCCCACGUGGAGUGGGAGCACCCCUCCUACAACUAAGAGUCACAGCUCUAGAAAACAGAAAUUCUGACCAGCAAGAUCCGGCAAUGCCGAUCAACGGACCGAGUUACCCUAGGGAUAACAGCGCAAUCCUCUUUUAGAGCCCAUAUCGACAAGGGGGUUUACGACCUCGAUGUUGGAUCAGGGCAUCCUAAUGGUGCAGCCGCUAUUAAGGGUUCGUUUGUUCAACGAUUAAAGUCCUACGUGAUCUG